Molecule: long non-coding RNA, 319 nt
Filed under: Ananas comosus (pineapple)
Lineage: Eukaryota; Viridiplantae; Streptophyta; Magnoliopsida; Poales; Bromeliaceae
Description: long non-coding RNA (ACOM_LNC030457)
Source: RNAcentral
UACCGAAAGGUCUACCGACUAAAAUCUUUACCAGAUUGCUGUUAGCCUCCGUUUUCACUCCUCGGGUGUCGGAAUGACAUGAAACUUUCAAUCCGACCUCAGAAAAAUAAUUUCGACAUAUUCUCAAAUUUUUAUAAUUUUCUAACACUGAAUUUUUAGCUAAAAGAUAGGUCAUGUUCUUUACAGAAAAUUUCAAAUCUCCUAUUUUCAUUUCAAUUUUACCAUAAAUUAUUUCUAAAUUAUCUUUUACUUUUCUAAGUCCAAUAAAAAUAGUAUCUCAUACUAUAUUUAUUUACUCUUGAUUUUAUAUAAAAUAAAU